CUUCCACGUGUGCAGGGUUCAGCAUCCUUGGGGCCUCAACUGCUUAUCCAUCCUGGGUCGAUCCUCUGCAUAUGAGCAGUAAGCUCUCCCCUCAGGGUCCUGGCCCCUACCUCCAAGCCCU
This is an unclassified non-coding RNA of Cavia aperea (Brazilian guinea pig), 121 nucleotides long. The record is from Ensembl. NCBI's taxonomy places the organism in Eukaryota, Metazoa, Chordata, Mammalia, Rodentia, Caviidae.